Molecule: long non-coding RNA, 1046 nt
Filed under: Crocodylus porosus (Australian saltwater crocodile)
Lineage: Eukaryota; Metazoa; Chordata; Crocodylia; Crocodylidae
Description: lncRNA (ENSCPRG00005016361.1)
Source: RNAcentral
UCCUGCUCUUAGCACCAGACUUCCUGCAGCCCUGCAAUGGGCCUCUGCCGCCACCAGGAGGAGCUUCAGGCUCCGACUACAGCCGCCAGCUAUCUUCCAAAGGCAGCCCCACUUGCUGGUCUCUGGCGAGCCACUUCCCUGUCCAGGAGCAGUGUGCCUAGUGCAGGGGCAGCAUGCAGCAGCUCUCUCCUUGCCCACUGCCUCCCUGUGAUAUGGCUGCUUCAGCCCCUGCCCCUGGCAGUGAUGACCAGUGCCCUGGGCUCCUGAUGGCCACCAUGCUGGCUCUAGUGGCCCAUCAUACUGCCUGCUGCCUGGCCUAUGGCUGUUUGGGCCUGCCUGGCUCCCCAACGUGCAGCAACCACCUGUCUGGCUGCAGCCUGCCAUCCCAGGGCCACCACCACUGUGCAGUUGCCACAAGAAGGGAGGCUGAUGAGGGGCUUCUGGAUGCUGCCAUCAGGGCUGCUGUCACUCUCUUAAAACUUCAGACCCGCCACCACAGGGGCCUCUGGGCCAGCCAGGACUGGUGGUGGCAUGUUGUCCAGCACACGUGGGAUGAUGAGCAGUGGCUGGAGGCCUUCAGGAUGACCCAGGCCACCUUCUGGGACCUUGUGGAGCAGCUAUGGCUCCAUCUGGAGUGGAAGGACACUGACUUGUGGCUGCCUCUCCCCACAGGCACUGACCUGGCCCUCACCCUGCUCAAGCUGGCCACACCUGCCAAUCUCUGGUAUUUUGGCCACCUAUUUGGCAUAGGCAAGGCCACCACUGGGGAGGCCAUCCUGGAGGUGUGCGGUGCACUCGAGGACAUGCUGGCAGACUCUGCCCUCUGUGUUCAUGACCCUGGCAGUGGUGGUGGGGUUCUGUGCCUUGGGACUCCCCCAGUGCAUUGGGGCCAUUACCUGCCUGCCCCACAGAAACCACCCCUAUUACAGCUGGAGGGGCUUUCACCCCGUGGUGCUCAGGCUGUUGUGGACCACUGUGGGGCCUUCAUGCAUGUGAGUGCCAGCCGGGUGGGCAGUGCUCAUGGCACCCACAUAUUUAGGAAUUCC